CAAUAGCGUAUAUUAACGUUGUUGCAGUUGAAAAGCUCGUAGUUGAACUUUUGGUAGGAGCGACCUGGCCUUGGGCGCAUGCCCUUGUUUGCCGUGUGUCGUAUCUGGCCAUCCUUUUCCGUUUCGGCGGGAAUCUUUUACUGUGAGUAAACUGGAGUGCUCAAAACAAGACGUUUGUUUGGUACAUUAAAGCAUGGAAUAAUAAGAUAGGACCUGGUUACUAUUUUGUUGGUUUGCAUAGCUAGGUAAUGAUUAACAGGGACAGUUGGGGGUAUUCGUAUUUAAUUGUCAGAGGUGAAAUUCUUGGAUUUAUGAAAGACGAACGACUGCGAAAGCAUUUACCAAGGAUGUUUUCAUUAA
RNAcentral lists this ribosomal RNA (360 nucleotides) under uncultured eukaryote. Its description in RNAcentral is "partial 18S ribosomal RNA". It matches the Rfam family "Eukaryotic small subunit ribosomal RNA", at positions 592 to 976 of the family's 1831-position model. The record is from RNAcentral.